GUCCAGGGAUGGGAAUCGAACCCAACAGUGUUCCGCAUACCGGGCAGAUGCCAUGUCCACUAGGCUACCCUGGA
This 74-nucleotide transfer RNA is filed under the name Cordylochernes scorpioides. RNAcentral describes it as "tRNA-Thr". The record is from RNAcentral. Lineage: Eukaryota; Metazoa; Arthropoda; Arachnida; Pseudoscorpiones; Chernetidae.